UAGCAAUAUUCUGUAGUCGGAGCGGCGCAAGGGUGCGUAACACGUGGGUAAUCUGCCAUGAAGUUUGGGAUAACUCGCUGAAAGGCGAGCUAAUACCGGAUGUGACGAUUGGAAGGCAUCUUCUGAUCUUCAAAGUUGGGGACCGUAAGGCCUGACGCUUCAUGAUGAGCCCGCGGCCUAUCAGCUAGUUGGUGAGGUAACGGCUCACCAAGGCUAAGACGGGUAGCUGGUCUGAGAGGACGACCAGCCACACUGGAACUGAGACACGGUCCAGACACCUACGGGUGGCAGCAGUCGAGAAUUUUUCACAAUGGGGGAAACCCUGAUGGAGCGACGCCGCGUGGGGGAUGAAUGGCUUCGGCCCGUAAACCCCUGUCAUUCGCGAACAAUGCCUGUGUAUUAACACCAUACAGGUUGAUAGUAGCGGAAGAGGAAGGGACGGCUAACUCUGUGCCAGCAGCCGCGGUAAUACAGAGGUCCCAAGCGUUGUUCGGAUUCACUGGGCGUAAAGGGUGCGUAGGCGGUCGGGUAAGUCUGAUGUGAAAUCUCACAGCUUAACUGUGAAACUGCAUUGGAUACUAUUCGGCUUGAGGUCUGGAGGGGGGACUGGAAUUCACGGUGUAGCA
RNAcentral lists this ribosomal RNA (626 nucleotides) under uncultured Verrucomicrobiota bacterium. Its description in RNAcentral is "bacterial SSU rRNA". It matches the Rfam family "Bacterial small subunit ribosomal RNA", at positions 77 to 680 of the family's 1533-position model. Lineage: Bacteria; Pseudomonadati; Verrucomicrobiota. The record is from RNAcentral.